CAUCUGGUGGUGAAGAGGGAACACGCUCGGUCACAGCACAUGUCGAGGUGAUAGUCCUGGAUGAGAUGUCUAAGUCCGAGAGGUCGUAGGUUCAACCCCUACCCAGGCAA
Daldinia decipiens is the source of this 110-nucleotide non-coding RNA. NCBI's taxonomy places the organism in Eukaryota, Fungi, Ascomycota, Sordariomycetes, Xylariales, Hypoxylaceae. The record is from the annotation of a RefSeq genome assembly.